GACAGCUUGGCCGAGUGGUUAAGGCGACAGACUUGAAUCACAUGACAUUCAUGGUAUCUGUUGGGUUCGCCCUCACAAGUUCGAAUCUUGUAGCUGUCG
RNAcentral lists this transfer RNA (99 nucleotides) under Chaetomium olivicolor. Its description in RNAcentral is "tRNA-Ser". It matches the Rfam family "tRNA". Rfam says of the family: Transfer RNA (tRNA) molecules are approximately 80 nucleotides in length. Their secondary structure includes four short double-helical elements and three loops (D, anti-codon, and T loops). Lineage: Eukaryota; Fungi; Ascomycota; Sordariomycetes; Sordariales; Chaetomiaceae. RNAcentral also lists the same sequence under 1 other name. The record is from RNAcentral.